CUCACACACUCACUCAAGCCCUGGUUGCCCCCCCCCCCACAGACGCUGCGCGUGAGGCUGCCGGUGCCGGGCUCGUCGCUGCGCCUCUCCUACCGCAGUGACGGCGCCCCGGCGCGCCGCUCGCUGCUUCGGCUGCUGCUGACGCCGCCGGUGCCGCCGCCGCGCCUCGCCGCCGUGCGGCUCCUCCUGGCGGUGGAGGGGCGGCUGCUGGAGCGGCGCUUCCCGCCGGCGCCUCGCCUCGCCCACACCCUGGCCUGGGACCGAACCGACGCCUACGGCUCGCGGGUCUACGGCACCGCACACGCCGUCGUGUGGGUGGGCUAUGAGUACGCGGGCUGUGCCGAGCUGGUGCUGUGGGAGCGCCGUGCGGUGGAGCUGCCGGCGUUCCCCCUGGAGCCGUCCGGGAUCGCCGGGUGGAGCCUGGAGCCGCACCACGCCCUGGACGUGCCCAGCGGCAUCCUUCACCGUGGCGACGGCUCCUCGCUGUCCCUGCGCUCGCGCCCGCCGCUCAUCUCCACGCUCGUCGGCACCGGCCGCCGCCGGCCCCUCUCGU
Petromyzon marinus (sea lamprey) is the source of this 553-nucleotide non-coding RNA. NCBI's taxonomy places the organism in Eukaryota, Metazoa, Chordata, Hyperoartia, Petromyzontiformes, Petromyzontidae. The record is from RefSeq and is a predicted model, not a curated record.